CUGCUGCCUCCCGUAGGAGUCUGGGCCGUGUCUCAGUCCCAAUGUGGCCGGCCAACCUCUCAGUCCGGCUACUGAUCGUCGACUUGGUGGGCCGUUACCCCGCCAACUAUCUAAUCAGACGCGAGGCCAUCUCAGAGCGAUAAAUCUUUGGCAGCAAAGCCAUGCGACUUCGCUGCAUUAUGCGGUAUUAGCAGCUAUUUCUAACUGUUAUUCCCCACUCCAAGGCAGGUUCCUCACGUCG
This 241-nucleotide ribosomal RNA is filed under the name uncultured bacterium. RNAcentral describes it as "partial 16S ribosomal RNA". The record is from RNAcentral.